This 79-nucleotide transfer RNA is filed under the name Oerskovia jenensis. RNAcentral describes it as "tRNA-Arg". It matches the Rfam family "tRNA", at positions 10 to 71 of the family's 71-position model. Rfam says of the family: Transfer RNA (tRNA) molecules are approximately 80 nucleotides in length. Their secondary structure includes four short double-helical elements and three loops (D, anti-codon, and T loops). The record is from RNAcentral. Lineage: Bacteria; Bacillati; Actinomycetota; Actinomycetes; Micrococcales; Cellulomonadaceae.
GCGCGCGGCCUGCGACCCGAAUACGCUCAGCAUCUGACUACGGAUCAGAAGGUUGGGGGUUCGAAUCCCUCCGGGCGCA